CCGGAGGGGCGUCCCGAAGCCCUUUUGGCCCGCGCCCCCCGAUAGCCCCCAAUCAUNNAACUCGUGAGCUAUUGCUGUNUAAAUUACCUAAGAAACAAAUUAUCUAAAAAACUUUCAACAACGGAUCUCUUGGUUCUGGCAUCGAUGAAGGACGCAGCGAAAUGCGAUAAGUAAUGCGAAUUGCAGAAUCCGUGAGUCAUCGAAUCUUUGAACGCACAUUGCGCCCUCUGGUACUCCAGAGGGCAUGCCUGUUCGAGCGUCAUUAUCACCCCUCAAGCCCCGCGGCUUGGUGUUGGGCUCAGGCCCGCGGACACACCGCGGGCGGUCCCAAAGAUAAUGACGGGCGUCGAGGAGGACCCCAGUACACGGAGCUUUCGGGCACGUACUCGGUUUUGGACCCCCUCAACGGCCGGUCUUUGCCGCACAAGGUGCCCUUGUGCGGACCUUUUUUUUUCAAGAGUUGACCUCGGAUCAGGUAGGGAUACCCGCUGAACUUAAGCAUAUCAAUAAGCGGAGGA
RNAcentral lists this ribosomal RNA (518 nucleotides) under uncultured Phialophora. Its description in RNAcentral is "eukaryotic LSU rRNA". The stretch from base 110 to 262 matches the Rfam family "5.8S ribosomal RNA". The record is from RNAcentral. Lineage: Eukaryota; Fungi; Ascomycota; Leotiomycetes.